This 250-nucleotide ribosomal RNA is filed under the name uncultured archaeon. RNAcentral describes it as "partial 16S ribosomal RNA". It matches the Rfam family "Bacterial small subunit ribosomal RNA", at positions 524 to 773 of the family's 1533-position model. The record is from RNAcentral.
UACGUAGGGUGCGAGCGUUAAUCGGAAUUACUGGGCGUAAAGCGUGCGCAGGCGGUUAUGUAAGACAGGUGUGAAAUCCCCGGGCUUAACCUGGGAACUGCGCUUGUGACUGCAUAACUCGAGUGUGGCAGAGGGGGGUGGAAUUCCACGUGUAGCAGUGAAAUGCGUAGAGAUGUGGAGGAACACCGAUGGCGAAGGCAGCCCCCUGGGUCAACACUGACGCUCAUGCACGAAAGCGUGGGGAGCAAAC